AACGAACGCUGGCGGCAGGCCUAACACAUGCAAGUCGAGCGCGCCCUUCGGGGUGAGCGGCGGACGGGUGAGUAACGCGUGGGAACGUGCCCUUCUCUGCGGAAUAGCCUCGGGAAACUGAGAGUAAUACCGCAUACGCCCUUUGGGGGAAAGAUUUAUCGGAGAAGGAUCGGCCCGCGUUGGAUUAGGUAGUUGGUGGGGUAAUGGCCCACCAAGCCGACGAUCCAUAGCUGGUUUGAGAGGAUGAUCAGCCACACUGGGACUGAGACACGGCCUAGAACCCUACGGAGGGCAGCAGUGGGGAAUCUUAGACAAUGGGGGCAACCCUGAUCUAGCCAGGCCGGGUGGGUGAUGAAGGCCUUAGGGUUGUAAAGCUCUUUCAGCUGGGAGGAUAAGGACGGUACAGCAGAAGAAGCCCCGGCUAACUCCGUG
Molecule: ribosomal RNA, 432 nt
Filed under: uncultured bacterium
Lineage: Bacteria
Description: partial 16S ribosomal RNA
Rfam family: Bacterial small subunit ribosomal RNA
Source: RNAcentral